RNAcentral lists this ribosomal RNA (433 nucleotides) under uncultured bacterium. RNAcentral describes it as "partial 16S ribosomal RNA". It matches the Rfam family "Bacterial small subunit ribosomal RNA", at positions 29 to 507 of the family's 1533-position model. The record is from RNAcentral.
AACGAACGCUGGCGGCAUGCCUAACACAUGCAAGUCGAACGAAGGCUUCGGCCUUAGUGGCGCACGGGUGCGUAACGCGGGGGAAUCUGCCCUUUGGUUCGGAAUAACAGCUGGAAACGGCUGCUAAUACCGGAUGAUGACGAACGUCCAAAGAUUUUUCGCCAGAGGAUGAGCCCGCGUUGGAUUAGGUAGUUGGUGGGGUAAAGGCCGGCCAAGCCGACGAUCCAUAGCUGGUCGGAGAGGAUGCUCAGCCGCGCUGGGACUGAGACACGGCCCACACUGCGACGCAACGCAGCAGUGGGGAGUAUUGGAGGCGGAGCGCAAGCCUGACCAAGCCGCGCCGCGUGAGUGAUGAAUGCGCUAGGAUUGUAAAUCUGUCUUAGCCGGGAAGAUAAUGACGGUACCGGGAGAAUAAGCCCCGGCUAACUCCGUG